Molecule: long non-coding RNA, 574 nt
Filed under: Brachypodium distachyon (stiff brome)
Lineage: Eukaryota; Viridiplantae; Streptophyta; Magnoliopsida; Poales; Poaceae
Description: long non-coding RNA (BDIS_LNC002082)
Source: RNAcentral
CCGGAUACGGCUCAUGCCAAGGUCCUCUCUCCGGGCGUGUGACCUUCUUCUACCUCCGUGGCUUGCCCCCCGACGUCCGCGCCUCGGCCCCGCUCCCGUGGGAAGCCUCCCUCUCGAUGCUCCUGCCGGCGCCAUCGCGACGCUCCACGUCGGAUCCCGCCAUCUCGCCUACAAGAAGAUGCAAAAAGAUUAGUACAAGUUGCAAGAAAAUUCCUAAGGAAGCAACUAGGGAAAAUCUACGCCGCAAGGUCGUGUACAACCGUCGGUAAAAAAAAGGAGCGAAAGAAUCCCCCUCAGAAACGGCCCCAGGCCCGAGUACGAUACCGUCAGCCCAAGCCCAAUGCAACGACGAAGCAAAAAAAAAUGAGAAGGGAGGAGCCCAGCUCCCCCUGAUGGCAUCUCCGCCCCAACCUGCCUCCGCGGCCCGCGGCCUACAUGCCUCCGGCCCACCUCGGCUGACAGAAGGAUGGGCCUGAGGCCCCGCGCUCGUCCACGGCCCAAGUCCCCAAGGCGGUUCGGACGGCCCAGUAAAAAAAAAGAGGAAAAGAUAAAAGGGAGAUGCACGCCCAUAGGG